Amphimedon queenslandica is the source of this 503-nucleotide long non-coding RNA. RefSeq lists it as uncharacterized. Lineage: Eukaryota; Metazoa; Porifera; Demospongiae; Haplosclerida; Niphatidae. The record is from RefSeq and is a predicted model, not a curated record. The transcript is spliced from 2 exons.
AAUAGCAUUGUGUGCUUAAAUAUGAGUAUUUACAUUAUAGAGAUAUCAGUGAAGAGUUAAUGGAGAGAUGUCUUUAUACUGGUACAUGUACACCACCUGAUCUUGUCAUUAGAACAUCAGGAGAAGUGAGAUUAAGUGACUUCUUUAUAUGGCAGAGCUCUUAUUCUUGUCUCUGUUUUCAAGAUGUGUUGUGGCCAGAGUUUUCCAUUUUGAAUUUAUUCUCUUUGAUAUUAACAUACCAGCAGAAUUACAAUCAUGUAUGUAUUGAGGUGUGCUAUAUUAACCUGGUCAGUUUUAAAAAGGAAUGGCCUUGAGCAUUUCUUGUGGUUGUGCUGCAUAUCUCUAUUAUAGCACUCUUAAGGUUUUGCUUUGAUAGCUUGUAGCUAAGUAUAAUAGCAUACAUUUAUACUUGUAUAAACAUAAUAGGUAUGUAGAUUAUGUGCAAUUCUGUCUUACUUCAAAUGAGAUUUGACCAAGAGGCUUGCCAGCAUGACUGAAUUCCA